This is a long non-coding RNA of Macaca mulatta (Rhesus monkey), 545 nucleotides long. RefSeq lists it as uncharacterized. Lineage: Eukaryota; Metazoa; Chordata; Mammalia; Primates; Cercopithecidae. The record is from RefSeq and is a predicted model, not a curated record.
GUCAGGAGUAGCAAAGGCCCAGAAAUGUCUUAGUGUAAACAGAAUCAAGGGAAUGGUGAGGGGUAUGGACCAGUUUCCAGCCAGGUUUCAGCUAGGACCUACAAAGUGAAAAGGACACCCUCCUGUAAUAUUUAGCUGGCGGGUUCAGAAUUUAUACCUUGUCUCAUCUUUGCUGUUCUCUCUUUAACAUAGUCAGAAGCCAUCCCUGCCCGUAGACACACACACUUACUCAGCCUUGUUGUGUUGGGCCAUCAGGAGGAACCACUCUCAACUCUAGCUCGACGUGAGCUCUCUUCCAGGAAGUAAUGGAGCUGGGGAGCUGGUACUUGAAGGAUGAGACUUCACCAGGCAGAUAAAGGAGAAAAGCAAUCCAGGCAGAGGCAACGGUGGGAGCUAAAACAUGAAAGAGGAACUCCAGAGGAUCACGAAGUGUGUCCCACUAUAAAUGUAUAAAUGUGUGUGUGUGAUCUCACCAUCGCCAUCACUGUGACGCUGCUGAGGCAGGUUCAGAAAAAACUUGAAUGUCAUGCUGGAGGGUGUGGUCU